Molecule: ribosomal RNA, 715 nt
Filed under: unidentified microorganism
Description: bacterial SSU rRNA
Rfam family: Bacterial small subunit ribosomal RNA
Source: RNAcentral
CUAUACAUGCAAGUCGAGCGGACAGAAGGGAGCUUGCUCCCGGAUGUUAGCGGCGGACGGGUGAGUAACACGUGGGUAACCUGCCUGUAAGACUGGGAUAACUCCGGGAAACCGGAGCUAAUACCGGAUAGUUCCUUGAACCGCAUGGUUCAAGGAUGAAAGACGGUUUCGGCUGUCACUUACAGAUGGACCCGCGGCGCAUUAGCUAGUUGGUGAGGUAACGGCUCACCAAGGCGACGAUGCGUAGCCGACCUGAGAGGGUGAUCGGCCACACUGGGACUGAGACACGGCCCAGACUCCUACGGGAGGCAGCAGUAGGGAAUCUUCCGCAAUGGACGAAAGUCUGACGGAGCAACGCCGCGUGAGUGAUGAAGGUUUUCGGAUCGUAAAGCUCUGUUGUUAGGGAAGAACAAGUGCAAGAGUAACUGCUUGCACCUUGACGGUACCUAACCAGAAAGCCACGGCUAACUACGUGCCAGCAGCCGCGGUAAUACGUAGGUGGCAAGCGUUGUCCGGAAUUAUUGGGCGUAAAGGGCUCGCAGGCGGUUUCUUAAGUCUGAUGUGAAAGCCCCCGGCUCAACCGGGGAGGGUCAUUGGAAACUGGGAAACUUGAGUGCAGAAGAGGAGAGUGGAAUUCCACGUGUAGCGGUGAAAUGCGUAGAGAUGUGGAGGAACACCAGUGGCGAAGGCGACUCUCUGGUCUGUAACUGACGCU